Long non-coding RNA from Oncorhynchus keta (chum salmon), 396 nucleotides. RefSeq lists it as uncharacterized. NCBI's taxonomy places the organism in Eukaryota, Metazoa, Chordata, Actinopteri, Salmoniformes, Salmonidae. The transcript is spliced from 3 exons. The record is from RefSeq and is a predicted model, not a curated record.
AGGGUUAUUGGUGAUCAGAGAGGCUGAGUGAAGGGUUAUUGGUGAUCAGAGAGGUUGAGUGAAGGGUUAUUGGUGAUCAGAGAGGCUGAGUGAAGGGUUAUUGGUGAUCAGAGAGGCUGAGUGAAGGGUUACUGGUGAUCAGAGAGGCUGAGUGAAGGGUUACUGGUGAUCAGAGAGGCUGAGUGAAGGGUUAUUGGUGAUCAGAGAGGUUGAGUGAAGGGUUAUUGGUGAUCAGAGAGGCUGAGUGAAGGGUUACUGGUGAUCAGAGAGGCUGAGUGAAGGGUUAUUGGUGAUCAGAGAGGCUGAGCCAGACAGGGCUACCGGUCUUUAGCAACUGUUCUCAGUAACAGGGACAGGGCUGGGGUCAGGGCUACUAACUGUUCUCAGUAACAGGGC